Long non-coding RNA from Enhydra lutris kenyoni (northern sea otter), 500 nucleotides. RefSeq lists it as uncharacterized. Lineage: Eukaryota; Metazoa; Chordata; Mammalia; Carnivora; Mustelidae. The record is from RefSeq and is a predicted model, not a curated record. The transcript is spliced from 3 exons.
CACGUGUCGGGAUUCCUCACAACGGUGGAGGGAGCUUGGCCCAGCCUUGCCCGAGAUGUAUUGCGGGGGAGUCUGGACAUCUUAACCACACCGAGAGCCAGUAGGACUGCAAGCUGGAAGGUUCUGUCUGUGUGCCAACGAGGCUCGCCCUCAGCAUGGACUGGGUGCCCACCCGUCACAUCGCAGCCCGAUUGCCCCGGUCGGGAGAUCCCACCGCCUGCUGCGCGCGCGUCAGGAGGACCUGUCGCCUCAGUCGAGUCUUCAGCCUGACGUCCCCCGCCACACCUUUCAGACGUCUCUUUCUUGACAAGAAAAUAGUCUGCAUCGUUUAAAAGUUAAAAAAAAAAUGUCAGUGUCAAAUUUCCUGUGAGGUUUGAGGACCGUGUGGCUUCUGGAACGGUGUCCAGAUGUGGCCCUGGCUUUCGCGCUUUCCUGUCGUUUCGUGGAUGGAUCCGGGGCUGCUCGUGUACUCUUUUGUAAUUAAAAGACUUAUUUUUAUA